This 256-nucleotide long non-coding RNA is filed under the name Nicotiana benthamiana. RNAcentral describes it as "long non-coding RNA (NBEN_LNC026804)". Lineage: Eukaryota; Viridiplantae; Streptophyta; Magnoliopsida; Solanales; Solanaceae. The record is from RNAcentral.
AAUAAUAUUCACGGUAAUAAAAGCGGAAUAAUAAUGUAGCACCGAGAUACGGUAAUUAACAAGAAUAAAAGAGUAACAAUGACACCAAGAUUUUACGUGGAAAACCCUUCUGAAUAAGGGAAAAAACCACGGCUGUGAGAGGAGCAACUGAUAUCACUAUAGUAAGAGAAUUUUUACGCUUUGUAGGUCCGAAAAAAAUACUCCAAAGACCACUACAACACUCAAAAGAAAUAACCCUCUUUUGAUAUUCCACCUC